Long non-coding RNA from Macaca mulatta (Rhesus monkey), 1840 nucleotides. Lineage: Eukaryota; Metazoa; Chordata; Mammalia; Primates; Cercopithecidae. The record is from Ensembl.
UAUGUAUAUAUAAACACAAUACACAAAUGUAUUUAUAUAUACACACACAAAUAUAUAUGUAUCCCUGAUUAAGUAUCUGAACAUUAUUACUUAGAUCUCUGAGAGAAAUAAGAUUGACUCAGGAUUGAGUUGGGAGAGAUUAUUUAUCAUUUCCAUUUCUACCUCACUCCUGGUUCCUCUUCUCUUUCUGCACUAGACUCCCCCGCCUUUUUGACCGCACCAGGUACUCUGAAUUGAGGCGCACUUCUGACAAAGCCAGGGCAAAGCACAACUGCCUUUCCUAGAAUUAAGCCCUUCCUGUGAAUUCAUAUGUCAAUCUAGUUAAAUUGUUAAAUUCCAACCACUUUACUCAAAAGCUAUUUAUUCAAAUAUAUUUAUAAAGCAAACAACAAAACCACCCACUGUCAGAUGCUCACACAUAUGCAUACUUGGACACCUCACCAGCCCGUGCUGACCUGACAGUAGGCAAGGCUGCUAUAUUUCACGUUACUUGAAAUGCAAUAAUUAACGCCUGUUAAAGGAGGGGAAAAAAAGACAUCACUACCUUGCAACCAAUUACUGAAAUCAGUAUGUCUAAUUUUUCAAGACUCAGUGCUGAAAGGAAGAUCCCUGCUAUAAGUUAAUAUCAUGUGGCUGUCGCUACUUACACUUGCCAGCACCAUGGUAUCAACAAAUGGCUUUUUGUCUUUCUAACAAGGAGACAGUCUUCAUUGGAAUUCCUAGACAGAGGUGAGCGAGAAUAGUCUAGUGGAGAUUUUAAUCACUUAUGUCCUAGUUUUUGAGAUUUGCAUGUCUUUUUCUAGUUUAAUUUACCUGUUUGGUUUUGGUUUUGAAUUCAGGAUGAAAUGCACUCACAUGUCAGGAUUAAGUCCCCUUUUUUCUCUUCCUGCAUAGAUCUUCGCUUCUGUCUACCCUGGUCGACUAUGCAAACUUUAAUCCUUUCCCAUGUCUACUGUGAUCAGGUGCUCCGUGAGAUGGACGCAGACGGAGAUGCAGGCUGAGGAGCGCCGGGGAGUUAAUUCCCCUCAGAGCCUGCUGAUGAGAUCAUCCCUGCCCACACCUUGAUCUUGAACUUCUGGCCCCAGAAGUAUGAGAGAAAACAAUUCUGUUAUUUUAGGCCACCAAGUUUGUGGUACUUUAUUAUAGCAGUCCUAGGAAACGAAUAUACUAAAUACUCUCAGGUGAGAUAUUAUCAUGUUUUUUUCUUAUUCGUUAUGAAAAAAAAGUUGAAAUGUGAACAUGUCAGUUUCUUUUUGGAGUGAGAUGGGUUGUUUCUAAUAAAUAAAAUUAAAUGGGCUAUAAGUCACCGUCCUAAAAACGUGUUUAAUUUGGUGUACCUAUUUUAUUAAGUAUAUUUAAAGAGUAAUUUGUGCAUUUCAACAAGCUACAUUUCCAUUUCCUAAGUCUAGGUGUCUCUCAGCAAUUUUGAAAUUAUCAGUAAAUCAAAUAAAGCAUAAGUCUAUAAAUUUGGAGUAAUAAUUCAGAGAGCAACAAGGUUUAAAAUGAAAUAUCUAAGACUAUGAAUCUAGCAUUUUAUGUCGAAGACAGUUAAGCAGUUCAGUUCAGGAGACUUCUACACUGUGUAACUGUUAAGAUGGGGGAACUCAGAGGACUCUAGAUCAUUCUGUCCGAAUCAAAAAUUGGCCUCCAUUAUUUUUAGCUGUGAGAACUUGGACAAGUCAAUCAACCUCUCUCUGCUUCAAUUCCCAUUUUGGUAAAUAUGGAAAUAACGCCUAUUUCAUUGGGCUAUUGUAAGGAUUAAAUGUGUGAAUACACGUAAAGCACUUCAUAACAGCACCCAGCAUGCAUUAGGCACUGGAUAAAUAUGAAGUAUUAUUAG